UGGGGAAUAUUGCACAAUGGGGGGAACUCUGAUGCAGCGACGCCGCGUGAACGAAGAAGGCUUUCGAGUCGUAAAGUUCUUUUAUAUGGGAAGAUAAUGACGGUACCAUAAGAAAAAGCCCCGGCUAACUACGUGCCAGCAGCCGCGGUAAUACGUAGGGGGCUAGCGUUGUCCGGAAUCACUGGGCGUAAAGGGUUCGCAGGCGGAAAUGCAAGUCAGGUGUAAAAGGCAGUAGCUUAACUACUGUAAGCAUUUGAAACUGCAUAUCUUGAGACGAGUAGAGGUAAGUGGAAUUUUUAGUGUAGCGGUGAAAUGCGUAGAUAUUAAAAAGAAUACCGGUGGCGAAGGCGACUUACUGGGCUCAUUCUGACGCUGAAGAACGAAAGCGUGGGUAGCAAACAGG
This 403-nucleotide ribosomal RNA is filed under the name Fusobacteriota bacterium. RNAcentral's name for it is "Fusobacteria bacterium partial 16S ribosomal RNA". It matches the Rfam family "Bacterial small subunit ribosomal RNA", at positions 355 to 776 of the family's 1533-position model. Lineage: Bacteria; Fusobacteriati; Fusobacteriota. The record is from RNAcentral.